CAACCCUCAAGCUCUGCUUGGAAUUGGGCACCGUCCUCACUGCGGACGCGCCUCAAAGACCUCGGCGGUGGCUGUUCAGCCCUCAAGCGUAGUAGAAUACACCUCGCUUUGGAGCGGUUGGCGUCGCCCGCCGGACGAACCUUCUGAACUUUUCUCAAGG
Molecule: unclassified non-coding RNA, 160 nt
Filed under: Lasiodiplodia sp. RM2
Lineage: Eukaryota; Fungi; Ascomycota; Dothideomycetes; Botryosphaeriales; Botryosphaeriaceae
Also listed under: 1 other name
Description: ITS2
Source: RNAcentral